UGGAUUGGUUGCCUUCGGGAAACUCGUGACUACGGAGGUGCGUGGCAUGGCGUUGUCGUCAGCUCGUGUCGUGAGAUGUUGGGUUAAGUCCCGUAACGAGCGCAACCCUUGUCCUUAGUUACCAGCACGUUAUGGUGGGCACUCUAAGGAGACUGCCGGUGACAAACCGGAGGAAGGUGGGGAUGACGUCAAGUCAUCAUGGCCCUUACGGCCUGGGCUACACACGUGCUACAAUGGUCGGUACAAAGGGUUGCCAAGCCGCGAGGUGGAGCUAAUCCCAUAAAACCGAUCGUAGUCCGGAUCGCAGUCUGCAACUCGACUGCGUGAAGUCGGAAUCGCUAGUAAUCGUGAAUCAGAAUGUCACGGUGAAUACGUUCCCGGGCCUU
This 386-nucleotide ribosomal RNA is filed under the name uncultured Pseudomonas sp. RNAcentral's name for it is "bacterial SSU rRNA". It matches the Rfam family "Bacterial small subunit ribosomal RNA", at positions 1006 to 1382 of the family's 1533-position model. Lineage: Bacteria; Pseudomonadati; Pseudomonadota; Gammaproteobacteria; Pseudomonadales; Pseudomonadaceae. The record is from RNAcentral.